This 468-nucleotide ribosomal RNA is filed under the name uncultured bacterium. RNAcentral's name for it is "partial 16S ribosomal RNA". It matches the Rfam family "Bacterial small subunit ribosomal RNA", at positions 28 to 507 of the family's 1533-position model. The record is from RNAcentral.
GACGAACGCUGGCGGCGUGCUUAACACAUGCAAGUCGAACGGAAAGGCCCUGCUUUUGUGGGGUGCUCGAGUGGCGAACGGGUGAGUAACACGUGAGUAACCUGCCCUUGACUUUGGGAUAACUUCAGGAAACUGGGGCUAAUACCGGAUAGGAGCUCCUGCUGCAUGGUGGGGGUUAGAAAGUUUCGGCGGUUGGGGAUGGACUCGCGGCUUAUCAGCCUGUUGGUGGGGUAGUGGCUUACCAAGGCUUUGACGGGUAGCCGGCCUGAGAGGGUGACCGGCCACAUUGGGACUGAGAUACGGCCCAGACUCCUACGGGAGGCAGCAGUGGGGAAUAUUGCACAAUGGGCGGAAGCCUGAUGCAGCAACGCCGCGUGCGGGAUGACGGCCUUCGGGUUGUAAACCGCUUUCGCCUGUGACGAAGCGUGAGUGACGGUAAUGGGUAAAGAAGCACCGGCUAACUACGUG